GUGCCAGCCGCCGCGGUAAUACGGAGGGAGCUAGCGUUGUUCGGAAUUACUGGGCGUAAAGCGCGCGUAGGCGGUUACUCAAGUCAGAGGUGAAAGCCCGGGGCUCAACCCCGGAACUGCCUUUGAAACUAGGUGACUAGAAUCUUGGAGAGGUCAGUGGAAUUCCGAGUGUAGAGGUGAAAUUCGUAGAUAUUCGGAAGAACACCAGUGGCGAAGGCGACUGACUGGACAAGUAUUGACGCUGAGGUGCGAAAGCGUGGGGAGCAAACAGGAUUAGAAACCCCCGUAGUCC
RNAcentral lists this ribosomal RNA (292 nucleotides) under uncultured bacterium. Its description in RNAcentral is "partial 16S ribosomal RNA". It matches the Rfam family "Bacterial small subunit ribosomal RNA", at positions 505 to 796 of the family's 1533-position model. The record is from RNAcentral.